ACGGACGUGCCUCUCGCUGGCUGGCGGGAAUUCCAAGAACUGUAGUUCCCUGGCUUCCAGCCCCUACUGGGCAGAGGGAAGCAUAGAGCAGGGGAAGGAAAUAAAACUGAGUUGCCAGCAAAUGAAACUGCACACUUUUAUAAAUAUUUCUUUACAAAGAUAACGUGCCUGGAGCAUAAACAUGGUGGUAGGCCAAAUAUCACCUCCCCAAAGAUGGCUACGCCCUAAUGCCUGGAACUUGGGUAUAUAUUAUGUUACCUGGCAAAAGGGACUUUGCCGAUGUGGUUCAGGUUACAGACCUGAAAACAGGCAGAUUUUCCUGGAUUAUCCAGGUGGACCCAAUUUAAUUGCAUGAGCCGUUAAAAGCGGAGAACAUUCACUGCCUGGAAGUAGAAGAAAGACGUGGCAAAAGAAGACUAGAGGGCUGACAGAAGGAAGUCCAAGAAAGUCCAAGUGUGAAAACGAUCCUUUGCUGGUUCUGAGAUGUUCGGCGGCCAUGUGCAAUAACCAGGAAGAGGCCUCUAGGAGCUAGGGCCUCCAGGUGACAGCCAGCAAGGAAACAGUCCUACACCUGUGACAAACUGGAUUCUGCCAGCAACCUGAAUGAGCCUGGAAGUGGAUCCAUCCCCAGAGGCCCCAGGAAGGGAAGCAGCUUUGCUGACACCCUAAUUUCAGUCUUGUGGGACCCUAAGCUGAGAGCCCAGUCAAGCUCACCUGAAGCUCUGACCUUUGGAAACUGUGAGAUAAUAACCGGGAGUUGUUUUAAGCUCCUAAGUCUGUGGUCAUUUGUUAUGGCUGCGUAGAAAACCAAUACAAGGAUCAAGGUGCCGCAUGUGGUUUUCUCUGAGUAAUUGGACAGUGGAAGCUGCAUCAGUCAAGAAUCCAUCAUGAUUUUGCAAGAGGAUUCUAGGGAAAGCCCUCUUGCCUUGUGACUGGUAGAGGCCAACUCAAAUGCCCUAAGGGUUCUUCAUUCUGCCGUGCACCCCUCCUUGUUCUGGAAGUCCAGGUCCAAACUCCAGGGCCCAUCUCGCCUCUUUCUAUCCAAGCCUCUGCCUCGUGUGCCCACCCAGGGUCCUGACUCCCCAAAGCUGGGGUAUGCCUUGCUCUUGCCAUCUUGCCAGAAGCUCAAUUUCUUCCCUGAGCCCCAGUCUGAUGGCAGGAGCCUCUUUGUGCUGACCAACCUCCCCACUCUAGUCCCAGCCUCCCAUGGCUGGGAAAUGCGGUUAGCUCCAUCCCAACGGGGUUGCCCCUACUGGGAUGAGCCAAAAGUAGCAGGAAAAGACUCAGGAAUCCUUUAAUCCUCAGAGUAUUAUCAGCAUCCAGAGAUCAUCGCAUUCAACCCCUGCCUCCGUGCAGGAUGCCCGCCAUUCACUCUUGCUGGCCUCCUGUCAAUGGCUGACCAUGCUCAUCCUCACUGCCUGAAACUCAGUUUACCCCCACACUUGUCUGUUUGCUCCUGAUCUUGUCUCAUGAGAAAGAAUGGAAAUGUGUCUAUACCCACUCGGGUCAUAUGAACACAGCCACAGUCACCUCCCUUCCUCUUAAAUGACUGGGUUACUUAAGGGCCAGAGGGGGUUCAUGGGCCUGGAAGAUGUGGAGAUUGUGUGUCAAGGCCUUAUUCCUUCUGUGCUCCUGGAGCUGACAGUCAUGGUAAGGAGAGAGGCCAGCCUAGAGAAGACAUCUG
This 1684-nucleotide long non-coding RNA is filed under the name Equus caballus (horse). RNAcentral's name for it is "lncRNA (ENSECAG00000050809.1)". Lineage: Eukaryota; Metazoa; Chordata; Mammalia; Perissodactyla; Equidae. The record is from RNAcentral.